GAUUAACGCUGGCGGCGUGCCUAACACAUGCAAGUCGAGCGGCAGCGAGUUUUACACUGAAUUCUGGAAGCUUCUAGUUGAAAGAGAAGAUUUAUUCAAGAAUUUUGUGUAAAAUGUCGGCGAGCGGCGGACGGCUGAGUAACGCGUGGGAACGUACCCCAAAGUGAGGGAUAACGCAUCGAAAGGUGUGCUAAUACCGCAUAUGGUCUUCGGAUUAAAGCCUUCGGGCGCUUUGGGAACGGCCUGCGUAAGAUUAGAUAGUUGGUGGGGUAAUGGCCUACCAAGUCGACGAUCUUUAACUGGUUUGAGAGGAUGAUCAGUCAGACUGGAACUGAGACACGGUCCAGACUCCUACGGGAGGCAGCAGUGAGGAAUCUUCCACAAUGGGCGAAAGCCUGAUGGAGCAACGCCGCGUGCAGGAUGAAGGCCUUCGGGUUGUAAACUGCUUUUAUAAGUGAGGAUUAUGACAGUAACUUAUGAAUAAGGAUCGGCUAACUACGUG
This 502-nucleotide ribosomal RNA is filed under the name uncultured bacterium. RNAcentral describes it as "partial 16S ribosomal RNA". It matches the Rfam family "Bacterial small subunit ribosomal RNA", at positions 28 to 507 of the family's 1533-position model. The record is from RNAcentral.